Molecule: ribosomal RNA, 490 nt
Filed under: uncultured bacterium
Lineage: Bacteria
Description: partial 16S ribosomal RNA
Rfam family: Bacterial small subunit ribosomal RNA
Source: RNAcentral
AUUGAACGCUGGCGGCAGGCCUAACACAUGCAAGUCGAACGGUAACAGGAAGAAGCUUGCUUCUUUGCUGACGAGUGGCGGACGGGUGAGUAAUGUCUGGGAAACUGCCUGAUGGAGGGGGAUAACUACUGGAAACGGUAGCAAAUACCGCAUAACGUCGCAAGACCAAAGAGGGGGACCUUCGGGCCUCUUGCCAUCGGAUGUGCCCAGAUGGGAUUAGCUAGUAGGUGGGGUAACGGCUCACCUAGGCGACGAUCCCUAGCUGGUCUGAGAGGAUGACCAGCCACACUGGAACUGAGACACGGUCCAGACUCCUACGGGAGGCAGCAGUGGGGAAUAUUGCACAAUGGGCGCAAGCCUGAUGCAGCCAUGCCGCGUGUAUGAAGAAGGCCUUCGGGUUGUAAAGUACUUUCAGCGGGGAGGAAGGGAGUAAAGUUAAUACCUUUGCUCAUUGACGUUACCCGCAGAAGAAGCACCGGCUAACUCCGUG